GCCGCCUUAGCUCAGCGGUAGAGCACAGCUUUCGUAAAGCUGGGGUCCAGGGUUCAAAUCCCUGAGGCGGCU
Transfer RNA from Fimbriiglobus ruber, 72 nucleotides. It matches the Rfam family "tRNA". From Rfam's summary of the family: Transfer RNA (tRNA) molecules are approximately 80 nucleotides in length. The record is from Rfam. NCBI's taxonomy places the organism in Bacteria, Pseudomonadati, Planctomycetota, Planctomycetia, Gemmatales, Gemmataceae.